AGAAAAUACAUGGCACACAAUCACAAAUGACACACCGCACGCUGCUAUACUGACACAAUACCAACAAGUCAGUAGUGAGCUCACUGUGUCAACCAACGAUGACAGCAUCCUGCGAGGCAACAGGAUCGCCACAACCACAAUAUUAUCAUUUGGAUAGUGUUAUGAUAAGGGGUCAUAUGUCUUGUCCAAACAAAGUACAUACUAAUUACAUUCAGAUGUCUUCAGUUACUAAUAGGUUAUAGUAUCAUGAACGUAGCCUAUGAUGAACAUUUACUAUGGAAUAUUUACAAUAAUAACCAACAACCUAAUAUAUUUUGCUUGUAUAUACUGCACCUCAGUAGAUCAGGAAUUUUUAUACAGAAUGCACUUCACAAAGCUCUUUAGAUUAGAUAUUACUUUAUGAUUUGUUGUUCACAGAAAUGUGCAUUACGUAGAGAAAGUACAAUGCGUUAAAAAAAGGAUCCAUAACAAAAAAGAGAGACUUAGAACUUCUUACAGAACCUCAGAAUGGUAAAUUAGAUGAAUGCUGAACCAAGUGGUGUCACAGUAAAACAAAUAUUGAACAGUGUCCACAGCAGGUGAAGUCCCUAGUGGUUCAGCCAAAUCAAAUGUAACUUUCAACACCCAUCUUGUGGUACCAUCUUGUGGUAAAGAGAAGACAUUACAGUUUUUUUUUUAAACUGCCGAUGAGUAUUCAGCACUAGUCCAAUAGUGAUUUUGUAAAAACAGUAGGCUACUACUGUAUUGGAAUAGUUAUUCUGUGUUGGAAUAAUUAUUUCACAAACAAUAUGCUAAUACAGAGUUGACCUGUAGCUACUAAAUUUUCUUUGAGAGCUGCAGUGGGCUACACAUUAUUAGGCAAGUGGUGUGAUAUGGUGAUUGGUAUCAUCAUUGUGGAGUUCUAAGCCCUAAGGGAAGUGUGGAACUCUAAUGGCUACUUGAAAUACACAAAUAUAUACAGUGCCUUCAGAAAGUAUUCACACCCCUUGACUUUUUCUAUAUUUUGUUGUGCUACAUCCUUUAAAAUGGAUUAAAUUGAGAUGUAUCAUUGGUCGACACAUAAUACCCCAUAAUGUCAAAGUGGAAUUGUUUUUUCUCAAAACUUUCAAAAUUUUUGCAAAUUAAUAAAAAAGCUGAAAUGUCUUGAGUCAAUAAGUAUUUGUUAUGUCAAGCUUAAAUAAGUUCAGAAGUAAACAAGUCACAUAAUAAGUUGGAGGUUUUCCAAUGCCUCGCAAAGAAAGGCACCUAUUGGUAGAUUGGUAAAAAUGUGAAAGACAGAUAUUGAAUAUCCCUAAAGACAGAUAUUGAAUAUACCUUUGAGUAUGGUAAAGUUAUUCAUUACAGUUUGGAUGGUGAAUCAAUACACCCAGUCACUACAAAGAUACAGGCGUCUUUCCUAACUCAGUUGCCGGAGAGGAAGGAAACCACUCAGGGAUUUCACCAUGAGGCCAAUGGUGACUUUGAAACAGUUACAAAGUUUAAUGACUGUGAUAGGCGAAAACUGAUGGAUCAACAACAUUGUAGUUCCUCCACAAUAAUAACCUAAAUUACAGAGUGAAAAGAAGAAAGAAUAUUUUAUUUUGUACAAGCUAAAACAUGCAUCCUGUUUGCAAUAAAGCACUAAAGUACAACUGCAAAAAAUGUGGAAAAGAAAUUAACUUUAUGUCCUAAAUAUAAAGUGUUAUGUUCGCAGCAAAUCUAACACAACACAUCAUUGAGUACCACUCUUAAUAUUUUCAAGCUUGGUGGUGGCUGCAUCAUGUUGUGGGUUGCUUGUCUCGGCGCAGGACACCGAGAAUGAGUAAUAAAGGUCUUUACUCAACAAAACAACAAAAUAUUCCACGCAGGGAAACUAACUCAGCUCACAAAUAUACGCGACAGCUUAACACAGAACAAACACGCACAAAACGAAUGGGGAAACUAGAGGGUUAAAUAGGGAACAAUAAUUAUGAAAUGGAAAUCAGGUGUGUACAAUGAAGACAAAACAAAUGGAAAAAUGUCACGCCCUGACCAGGUGAACUCGGGUAUUUUGGUCAGGGUGUGUCAUGUUGGGUAUUUUUCCUUGGUUUGUUUUCUAUGUUUGCGUUAUAGCCUUUGUGUUAGCUCUAUGUGGGUUAUUUCUAUGUUGGGUUCUGUCGAUUCCCAAUCAGAGACAGCUGUCGCUAGUUGUCUCUGAUUGGGAUCACAUUUAAUUCCUUUUUCCCCCACGCUGUUUGUGGGGUGUUGUCUCUUUGUUUUGAGCAGUUAACGUAUCGGCAUUUUCUUGGUUUUGUGUACGUGUUUAUUUCAGUGUUAAGAAUAAACAUGUGUUCGCUCCCAGCUGCGCUUUGGUCCUCUUCCUCAUCACCCAACGACGAACGUUACAAAAAAGAAAACAUGGAUCAGUAGCAACUAGAAAACCGACUACAGAGGAUUGUGUGUAGGUCCCUGACAAAAAAAAUGAGAAAUCAAUUUUAAUCCCACCUUGUAAUACAACUAAAUGUGGAAAAAGUUAAGAGGUGUGAAUACUUUCUGAAGGCACUGUAUUUACAUAAUGUAGGCUAGGUAGUUAAUGAAUUGCCUCUGGUCUGGUCAGUAGGUCACCCUUAAAAUUUCCAUUCUAGUUUUUUUUUUUAAAUGUGUUUAUUCUUUUUCAUCAGCAGUGGGUUCCAUCUUUAUAGUGUUUUUGACUCUUGUGAAAGUCAAUUCGGAUUUGUUUGUGAACUUUAUCCCCUCUCGGAACUUGUUAAUUCCAAGUUUCUCGAAUGAGAUUCUCUUCAACUUUACAGAAGACCUGGAAAAAAACACACAAAAGAUACUCAAUAUUACACCUGCACUAUAAACCAGACCUUAUAAAGCUUAUCAUACUUUGUUUGACUUACCCUCUCUUCGCUGCUCCUACAAAGUUAUUUCGUUUAUCUUGAUCCAAAAUGAGAAUGUCCAUGGGCCCAUCCUCUUGGAUUAGAACAGCUAGGAAGUAUUUCGCCCCCGUCUGCCCCAUCUUCAUCUCAGAAACGUCUUUGAUGGUUCCACACGCAGUGGUACUUCUCCGGUUUGUCUUUUUCACAGGAGUAGUUGGAAUUUUUGAACCUAAUAAAAACAACAACACAUAUCAUUUUUCCCAGAUGCC
This 3109-nucleotide long non-coding RNA is filed under the name Salmo salar (Atlantic salmon). RNAcentral describes it as "lncRNA (ENSSSAG00000103147.1)". The record is from RNAcentral. Lineage: Eukaryota; Metazoa; Chordata; Actinopteri; Salmoniformes; Salmonidae.